AGAGUUUGAUUAUGGCUCAGAUUGAACGCUGGCGGCAUGCCUUACACAUGCAAGUCGAACGGUAACAGCACUUCGGUGGCUGACGAGUGGCGAACGGGUGAGUAAUACAUCGGAACGUGCCCGAUCGUGGGGGAUAACUACUCGAAAGAGUGGCUAAUACCGCAUACGAUCUACGGAUGAAAGCGGGGGAUCGCAAGACCUCGCGCGGACGGAGCGGCCGAUGGCAGAUUAGGUAGUUGGUGGGAUAAAAGCUUACCAAGCCGACGAUCUGUAGCUGGUCUGAGAGGACGACCAGCCACACUGGGACUGAGACACGGCCCAGACUCCUACGGGAGGCAGCAGUGGGGAAUUUUGGACAAUGGGGGAAACCCUGAUCCAGCCAUGCCGCGUGCAGGAUGAAGGCCUUCGGGUUGUAAACUGCUUUUGUACGGAACGAAAAGACUCUUUCUAAUACAGAGGGUCCAUGACGGUACCGUAAGAAUAAGCACCGGCUAACUACGUGCCAGCAGCCGCGGUAAUACGUAGGGUGCAAGCGUUAAUCGGAAUUACUGGGCGUAAAGCGUGCGCAGGCGGUUAUAUAAGACAGAUGUGAAAUCCCCGGGCUCAACCUGGGAACUGCAUUAGUGACUGUAUAGCUGGAGUGCGGCAGAGGGGGGAUGGAAUUCCGCGUGUAGCAGUGAAAUGCGUAGAUAUGCGGAGGAACACCGAUGGCGAAGGCAAUCCCCUGGGGCCUGCACUGACGCUCAUGCACGAAAGCGUGGGGGAGCAAACAGGGAUUAGAUACCCUGGGUAGUCCACGCCCCUAAACGAUGUCAACUGGGUUGUUGGGGAAUUUACUUUUCUCAGUAACGAAGCCUAACGCGUGAAAGUUGACCGCCUGGGGGAGUACGGCCGCAAGGUUAAAACUC
This 908-nucleotide ribosomal RNA is filed under the name uncultured bacterium. RNAcentral describes it as "bacterial SSU rRNA". It matches the Rfam family "Bacterial small subunit ribosomal RNA", at positions 8 to 902 of the family's 1533-position model. The record is from RNAcentral.